ACACCUGGGAACAAUCAAGGGGAGGACAGGACAACGAAGAGACUCAAGGACACAAAAAACUCUAAAUGAACACAGAAAACACAGAUCCUGACAACUUUUUCCAGACUUUUUAAAUUGCGAAGGUUCCCUGUAUUUACAUUCAGACAGAAAAUGUAUUGAACUUCAGCCACUCAUAGUAACUGAAAUAUGAAGUCACUCUGCUGAAAAGCGUAAGUAUGGAAUACAUGGAGCAUCAGGAAAAACACUGUGAUGAAAAAUGCAAGCUUACUUUAUGAAAAUAAACUGACAGAAUUAAUUAAAAAGGCCUCAGGAAAAAAAGUCUCUAUUAUAACAGUCAGAAACUGUCAUAAAUCAACAGCGUCUUCAGAUUAGUUGCAAGACUGACUGCUAUGCGUCCUGCCACGGCAUCACUAUCUACAAUGAAUAUGAAGAUACUUAAUGAUGUGAGUUACGGCAACAUUUAAUUUCUAUUUAGGAUGAAUGAAGUAUUCAAAUUGAAUUUAUGUACUAUGUACUUACGUAUGUAUGUAUUUGAUAAUGUUCUAUUUACUUAUUUGAUUAUGAGCACGUUGGAGUUCCAUAUUGCUCUGUCACGGUGCCUGGCAAUCACAAUUUAGGCUAUUCUGUGGGAUUUUCCACUUUUAUCUCCCAGCAUGCCUUUCUUGACAAUGCAUGUCAGAGUCGUGAGUAAGGAGGAUUAAUACUCAGGAAAGUGCUGACAAACACAAUCUCAGAAUGAAAAGACCCAGCAGGCCUCAGCAGGUGUACUUGUCAGACUGUGCGGAAUGACGCCAUAAUGCUACCAAUUAUGCAGAAGCAGAACAGCAGCCAAAGCAAAAAGAGAAAAUUAGGAACUUUGGCAUGCUAUGUUAAAUUAGCUAUGGUUGACAUCAUCAAAUGCCCCAACCAACGCUACUAGUCCUAACUAAUUUAUCAAACUGUCGUUCAUUGUUUUGCUAAAUGUGCAUGUCUGUAUUCUCUCCAGUAUUUUCUGAAACAGAAGGAAUCCCAACAGUUGUUGAGAAUAUCAGCCUACUGUCUGUCAGCACUUAAGUCAUUUUUUACCUUCUCAUUCAAACCACGUCUGCUUCAGUGAAGCAUAACUUUGUUUUGCUGUAAAUUACAGAAGUAGAAUAAAGUAGUCAAAGUUGCCGUAUCUCUAAAAACUUUAACCUAAAAGCAAAAACAAAAAUUGCUUGCAGAGUUUAGUUAAUUUGUUAAAAAAUAAAAACGUGAACACUAAUAUAAAAACUUCAAUUAAAUCAUUCUUUUUGAGCUAAACUUCUUGAAUUUAGGCCUUAUUUUGUUGCGACUUCCUUCAACUAGCUGACUAAAAAUAAGCAGCAACAGGUUGGAAAAAAGAAUGCUUCUCUUCUACUUACAAAGAAAGACAGUGUUAGCCAUUCUGGCACUUUCUAAAAUCAUGUGUGCAGGAAGUUAAACUGCAGAGACCAUGUGAUGGAACAUUUUGGUGCUAUACCUUGAAACUGGACAAGAGCCAGUGCCCAGCAUCUUUGUUCUGAUGAAACAGGGCUAUCUGUUUCAAUUGGUACAACACUCGGAGUUUCAGUUUUUAGAGCUAUCGAAGUCUUAGUGAUACAUGAGAAUGCAAUGCUUACACUUCCGUCAAAUUUUACAUAAAACUCUUUGGUUGUUUACCAAGAUGUAGAGCAAGAUAAUUUGUGGUUUUCAACAAUGACUUACUAAACACAAUCUGUUAAAGUUACCUGUCUAGAGCAACUGCUCAAUAGAUAAAGCAGAGUAUAAAUCAAUAAAAAAGUACUAAAUUUCAACCACUUUAACAUUUUGUCCACUUUACACAGCAAAUUUGAAAUACCCCUUAAUUUGAAGUAACUUCUAAGAUGGUGGAUUACAUAAAAUGCUGUCUGGUUAUACUGGAAUGCUAAGAGAAAAGUCAGGGUAAGACCACAGCUAUUAGGUCUCAUCUUUUCUCCACUAGUAACAUCUCCACCAAUUUUCUUGUCUCCAGAAGUUAGUUAGAAGACUUUGCUGCACAUUGGUUCUGGAGACUGUGGUUAUAUCUUUCAUGGAUAUCUUUCAUGGUUAUCCAUGAAAGAUAUAACCACAGCCGUGGUGUCUCCUCAGCUUGAUGCAAGCUGUGGAGACAUUACCGCUCUAGAUAGCAACAGUGGUUUUCUUUGCUUUGCUUGGGAACCCGACCAACUUUAUCAGUCUGGUACUCAGCCCCAUGUUUUGAUGAAAAAUCUGUUAAAGUAGUUAUGGUCUUGUUGCAAAGUAACCUUAGACAGAAGUAUGUCCAUUUCACAAAGAUUGGUUUUUUAUUGCAACAUCAUAGUAUUUUGCUUUGCCAGUGCAGGGAUAGUUACAAAAAAAAAAAAAAAAAAUAUCCCAAAAACAAAGCAAAUAAAUUGUGGGCUGUGUUUUUCAUACUUUCAGUUUGUUUGCCGCCAAAGGUUGUUAUUUAAAAGCUCCUCUCCGUUCUCCGGGGAUUUGAGUGGCACUCAGCGGAGCUGACUUUUGCUCUAAUGAAAACAAAAGCAGUGUAGUCAGUUUGUGUUGUGGGCAGAGAAAACAUCAUCUGUCCCACAAUGCCAGGAUCUAGAACACAAUGAAGUCCCAUAUGAAGUUUUCCUCUAAAUUCUUCCUCAUACCGCAAGAAGCAUUGUUAUAUCGUGUCACAAGGGACAGAUAUUUACAGUCAGACAACCAAGUGCCCUUUUCUCCAAAGUGCACUGGCAGCAAUCGUGCUUACAGUUUUGGUUUACUGACAAAGUUUCAGAUGUUCCUCUUUAAUACCAAUUAGGUUACUAGAACAUACAGAUACUUAAUUUUUUUCUUUCUUGCUUGCUUUGUUUGUUGUUUUCUUCUUUGCUUUCUAUUAAAAUAAUUUAGUAUAGUCACAUCAGACUCUACCUCUCAUCUUUGUAUAUGUCUGUUAUGUUGUUGCAUCUGUAUAAACACUCAGAUCUCCCUUUAAACUAGUUGGAAGAGCUCUUGGGUAUUGUUUAGAUUACCCUGUAAUGAAUCUGCUAUUAGUGAAAUGUAACCCUGGUUCUGAGCCUCCCAAAGCUCCUGAAACCAAGAGUGUACCUUUGACAUCUAUAUUUCAGUUGCUUUUUGCCGUCUUCAUAUAUUUUUUUUCCUUCCAUAUAAUCAUUACCAUUUUGUGGUUGCCUCUCCCCAGAUUGCUAUUACCACCAUUUUGGGAGGGGAUGUGCAGGCGCAUUUGUGCUGACUUGGUGUUUUGCAAGGAAAUGAAGUCUUUCAGGAGCCAUGCCAUGUAUUACAGAGACUUGCAAAAGUAUUUAAAUCUUUUGAAUUUGGUCACAUUUUGUAACUAUGCAACUAGAAACUCGUGAAAAAUGUUGUGGAAUAACAAAUCUAAAAAAGUGUGGCAUGCAUUUGCAUUUCCCUCUUUAUUCCAGGAUUGUGCUGCAUUUAGCUUUUUCCAUCUUCCUAUAAUUCUGAGUAAAUCCCCUCUUCUCUCUCCCUGGUAAGAGACUUGUCUCUCCACAGCAUGACUCUGCCACCACCACGUUUCAUAUCGUCACUUUCUUAUGUCAUUUUGUGCCAAAAGUGAUGUUUGCAAAAAAUUACCACCUUAUUUUUGCGAAGACGAUUUAAGAAAAAGAAAACAACAACUCACUUUUGGGCGGAGGGGAAAAAGGCGCAGGCCAUUGUUUUAGGAAAGUGAUAACAUUAGGAAUUAUUAUUUUUGAAAAGUGUUAGGUUUCUGCACAGAUAGUAUUUUUCAUAUAAUCCAAAAAGUAAAAUUUAGCAUAUGACUAAAGUACCUCUCUAUAGACUUUAAAGGUCAAAAUGAUCAUUUCCCUAGGAUAAAGCACUAAAGACACUGAAUGCAUUCUCAGCAUUUAGGCCACAUGCUUUACUUUCAGCUUUACACUAAAGUAAACAAGUUCCUUCUGUCUGGAUUUUUGUAUAUUAUUGGCAGACGCAAGUCAUUGCAAUGCCAGAAGUGGUUGUAACUUUUUUCCCCCCUCCUUCCACCACAGUUGAGCAAAAGGUUUGUCUCUGUAUCCACAAUGCUUUCUUAGGGCCAGCGAGAGUCAGCACUGCCAGAAUGUAUUGUGCAACCACUGUAAUAUGAGAGUCGGCGUAGUCGGGGGGAAGAGGAGAGAGGCAGGCGCAGGCGUGGGGCGUCUGGUCCUGAUCGACACACUCCACACACGGACGGCGUGCCAAACCGACAAAGUCCAUUCCAGCGCGCUAAACCAGAUGUUGCUGUGUGAUUCAUGCCGAGGAACCGGAGCGGUGCAGCGACGAGGCCGCGCUUCUAGGCAUAGUGGUCGGGAUGUUUACAUAGCAACGGGAGUCCUGACUGUGUCUAAUUACAGGUCUGCUCUGCCCCCAUGGUGAGGCCUUUAUCUUAGCAGUACUGUCCAGGAGGAGGAUUCAUUCUAGCCCUCUGUGUUUAGUGCUCCUUUAACACUGCAUUACCAAUUUUAAUUAACAACACAGUGUAAAUGGAAGGACAGAUGACUUACUGUGUUUUUCUUUACUCAAAUAUUCUUCCAACUGUAGAAGCACAUCAACACAAGGAGAGGAAACUGCGCAUGCAUUCCUCCGAAUAGAUAUGUCAUGUCUGCCAUGUCUUGUCAGCGUCCCGAUAAGAGGAUGCUUACGCAAAUCCGAAGGAGUAAACUGAAUUCCGUCCUCCUUCCUCUCUCUCUCUCACUCUUUUUCUCCAUAGUUCCAGUAAGACGAUGUGUAAAUAAUUUUGGUCAGAGUCAGUAAUAGGAGACAUCUGGGUUGAUAGUGUGCUUUCCAUUGUGUUUGUCGGCUCUGUGGAAAAUAGUGAAUACUGAGGCCGUAGUAGAGUAAGAAUUGUAGUUACCGUACAUGUGCUGUGACUUCAUAGAAGAAAGAGAGGGGAAUAGUAAAAUGAAUAACAAUAACAAAAACAUACUUUCCUUGUUGAGAUAACCUUGGAAGGAAGGUGUUUACAUCGUCACUUUCUGGCUUUUAUUAUUAUCAGCUGUCGUUUCAGCUUUCUGAAUGACUCUGAAGGUCUUUCUAGGGGGUGUGAGCUAACGGCCUCCAGGGUGAUAUCGUUCAUCAAACCAGCCCCCUCCUUUGGCCUCAACUUCCCCACUCCACUUCCACCAGUCCAGUCUUGCUGAAAGACCUGGUCCAAGUUUUUGCAAUGGUUCUGUGGAAAACCCAAUGUUUGUCCAAUGAAUGACAGUGUGUCCUCAUUAGAUGUCCUUAGAUAACAAAAUAGAUUCUCAGAAAAACAGUGCACUCUUUUUCCACUUGUGUUCCAGAAUUUGAUUUUGGAUGUAAAAGUAGGAAGAAAGAAGAUUUAGAGGAAAUAAAAGAACUCACAGGUGCCGUGAAAAUUUGAGAAAGUUAUCAGAUAGGCUGGUGCUUGGCUAGAAAAUAGCUAAAUCUUCUUAUUUAUUGUGAUUUAUUGUUAUUCUAGAAAGUCAUCAAUUGGUUGAAAAGUGAAGAGCAGGACAGGGAGAAGUACAUCGAAUCGGGGGUCACUGUUUUGCUAGUUUUAGCAAUUAGAGGGUGUUUUCUCAACUGAUGGUCUGGUAGACUCGUUUUGAUAGGGGACCAAAAUUGUUACAUUUUCAUCUGACGCAGAUCGCUUUCACACUGCUUGGUUGUCAAACAAACCAAGCCUUUUGAAAAACCAGUUUAUCCCCUCACUUAUGGUGGCUCUGCACUAAGAACCACUGAAUGAAACGACACAAAAACCUCAGACACUGAGCGCAAUUUCCUUCUUCAUGAAAUGUAAACAAAUAGAGUGAUGUCAAAUUGUCUUUGGCAACAGAAACCUAGGUUUUUAGGUGGACCAUUUAAAACCUGGUUUUAGCUGGUUAGGUUGAGUCCUCUCAAUGGCUAACACAUUGAUAGGACUCAAUGUGUUGAUAGGACUCAAUGUGUUAGCCACCGAGUCCUAUCAGAUUCUUAGUAAUCUUUUAAUUCUUACCGAUCUGUCUCCAUUCAGUCAUUGAAUCCCAAUCCAAUUAAUCACAUGACCUAAGUGUAUUUACUCCCCCUGCUUGCUUCAUUUCAUUGCUAAUUUCUACUGAUGCCUGUCUCUGAGCCUAGUUAUGCCUCAAUUUCUCUUGCUGCAUAGAUUUUGGACGUGGACGUUGCUUUGGCCCACUAAGCAACCACACACAUUGAAAUCAGAUUUAGGAAGCUGGCACCCUCUACCUACAGUAUGUAACUUUGGCAUUGUAACAGAAACUUUGUUUUGUUGAGAAAGAGGUCACAAACUGAACAAAGGUCUCUUGUGGAAAUAUAGAUGGUUAAUAUGCACACUAUAGACUGGCAAUGAUGUUAACAUAAAUGGUUAGAUACUAGUACAACACUCUGAGAACUACGUACAAACAUACAACAGAAUGACAUCUGCCUGUUAAUGUUAAAAGAACUGUUGCUGAUAAAAACAUAAUUUUAAACAAAUCUAGCUACCACUUUGCACUUUCCAUAAUGCAUGUUGCCUGGCUAUAUAAUGUGUUUUUCUUUUUGGUCAGAAAGACUUAGCUUAUUUGCUGUCUGGUGCCUGUCCUGACCCGCCUGCUAUUUAUCACACUUUGCAUUUUGUUAACUGUCCAGUUAAGAGGUUCUCCCAGCUCCUCCGUACGUGUUAAUACUUGAGGCAGAAUGGCAUUUGACAAGUCAUUCCUCUUCUUUUCCCUCCCUUUUAUUGAGGAAGGCCCGUGGAAUGAAGCCUCUUCCAGUCUCUGUGUGAAAGCGGCAUUUGCCUUGGCCCUUUUCACCUCUGGCUCUGUCACACUGGCCUUCCUCACUGGCACAGAGACUCUGCAUUGUUUCAGCUUUUGCUCUCUGUUUAUGGUAACCUAUAAUUUUUUUCUUGAGCUUAAAAGGAAGAGAUUGUCAGUUUGCAUGCACAAUUAUAACAAGGAAAAUACAUAUGUCUAUACCUAGAAGCACCAUCAUUGUGAUCCAAACCAGCAUACUUUCACCUAACUUUGUUGCUCAAUGUCUGUUGAUACAAAGACAAUACAAAUACAUACAAGCCAGAGACAUCUGAGUAAAACCAGAUUAGGAAAAUAUUACUUAACUGGGACAUUUCUAACUAGGAACAUGUCUACAGUUUAUGAAAGUUUUUUUCAAAGCCCAGCUAAAGAUGGGGAUUUUUCUUUAGCAGAGAUGCACCAGACAUUUGUGGUGAGUUUCCAAAUCCCCAUUUUUAAAAACAGCUACUAUUGGUCUGCCAGUAAAGAUUUUGGGAAACCUCAAUGUCUCUUUAAUCACAAUAAUUAUCAAUUUUUCUAAGGAUUUCUUUUUCAAGUUUUCUUGCUGUGAGCCAUUAGUUAUAUUAGAAGCAGAUUUGAAAUCACACUGUGUGUGUAAGAUAGCAGUUUUUUCUUACAAUAGUUUUAAACAUGUUAAAAAAAACCUAAAGGAUCAAUCAAACUGUGUAGUUCAGAAAAUAAACUUUAAAAUACUUUACCAUUCAUAAAUUGUUUGUUUGAACAGCAGCAAAAUACAGUACAUUAAAGACCUGCUGUCAUCUUGUCAAACCUCCAGAUCAAUCAGAUAUUUUGGUUCAAGUCUACUCUGUAUCCCCAGAGUCAGAACCAAUCUGGAACAAACUUCCAGAAAACUUCAAAAAUGCUGAAGCUCUGAAUUUGUUUGCCCUCUUUUUCAGUUAGACAAAACAUUACUGAUUUUCUUUGACAGAUGAUUCUUUAUCUAUCCUAAAAAGUUUGGUAGAGAAGGACCAAACUCUAGGACAUGAAAGGCAGAAAAAGCUAAAUGCCAAAAUCUGUUGAUAGCAGACUCAAUAAAAGGAUUAUACACCUCCACUGAAAAUACUGUUCUUUUUUUAGCUUCUUACCUUUAAACCUUUUACACUUAUUGUGCAACACUAAUAUUCUAAAUAUCUAAUUUUGAAUUUUCUUCCUACAGUAACAAGAUCCACACUGAAGAGUGUUUAAUUAAAUUCAGAAAUACUUUAUUGAUCAUAAUGGGAAUAGAUGUUGGGUUUUUGAGUUUCCAACUAACUAGUCAGAUGAGCUCAAACAACUUCAGCUAAAAUUUUGCAAUACUGACCACCAGAUCUCUGUUUGAGUCAAUGCAUCUGUUUAAUGCAUCCCCACUUUUUGGCAAACAUAUUUGUGGAUUAUUAAUACUAUAUUUGAGGAGACCAGAUAAUCCAGCAGAAAUGAAAGAGCUGAUACUAAACGGGAUGAGACAAACUGCCCCAGGGCACACCUCCCUGUUUCCCUUACUGGGUUUAAAUCCUAAAGUUAAUACUAGGAGGCUCCCGCUGAACCCCCGCCAAGCUGCUGUCAAAUACAAUGGCUUUUUCAAGCCUCUAUGACUGAUGAGAGAGAUGUCCUUCGAGCAGCUCUAACCCUUUCUGCAUAUUGCCAAGCACAGGCUGUUAUGCCUAGGUACUUUUAGUAUCAAACUGCAUUGGAUUAACUGAGAGCAGUUGCAUUUGACUUCUGGUGUCUCACUUUUCAUGCAGUUGCUUGGUUUAGAUAAUGUCUCCCAGCUCAAGCAUAUUAAUCCUGUGACACCACUGUUGCUACUCUAGCAUUCCUGCUGUUUUUUGUUUUCCUGCAAAGUGCAUUAACCUGUAAUCUAUCUAAUGACUCAUCAUGGCGUUUAACCAUUUUCUCCUUUGUGUCGCUUCUUGUGCCGACUACAUUUUUUAGUCUUGAUAUUAUAGGUCGAGACAGCACAUGUCAGCACCCAUCAGUAACGACAUAUGAAGUGGCUCCUGUGUUCCUGUGGGAAUCGGCCUCGUCAUCCAUCUCUUCAAAGCCCUCUGAUUUACGUCUGUAUUUAGCAGCAGAGAGGAAUGCAGCACUUUCUAUCUUCACUGCUUGCCUGUGGCUACAUAUGCUCUGUGUAAUUGGUCAUGUAGUCUUUUUUUUUCGUAACAUCUUUGAUGGUGCCCAACAGGUGCCCAUGACAUUUGUCAGGGCUAAUUCACAGGGAGCCUCUUUACUGUCAGUACCAAUAAAAUGUGUUACGUUCCACCCAUUCUCUAGAAUAUAGGGCUGACCAAUUCAUUACAAAGCAAAGCACAAUAGUAGCAUGUGCUGUUGUGAUGCUACUGUCAGUGACAAGAAGACUAUAAACUUCCUGCUAGGUUUAUUUUCCCUAAUAUUGAGGUAAAAAGAACGCUCAAAGGUUGGUGUAAAGGGACAAAAGUCACUUAUUCAUAAUGAUGUGGCUGUAGAAACGAUUGUGUUAGCAACUUUGCUUUAGCUUUAGCUAAUGUGAUAGCAUUAGCAGCAGAAACUAGCAGUAGUUUUGAUACUGUGUGUAUUAUGUAGGGAUGGGCAUUUAUCUGAUCAUUUAUCGCUAAAGUGAGCAAAAAAUCGUGUGUUAAAUCUAUCUUGACAAAUUCCAAAUUACAAGAAAUGAUGUUUGAAAGAACUGAUUUUGGAGGUCGUUUUUGGUUGUAUGUUGCAUUGAGGAACACAACACUGCCCCACCAAAACCUCCUGCAUUGUCUGCCAGGGCAGAUAGCGCUGCUAAUUUAGCAAACUAAUAUCAACUUGCUAUACUUGUGUUAUUUUAUAUAAUAAGGGUGAAAAAUUUUAUUAUUCUGCAAUCAGUACUUGAAAAGUAUUACUAAAUGUAGUGUUUAUUCUAUAUUUUUUGCAGAAGUGUAUUUCUUAUAAGAACAAUAACUAAACAUUUUUGCAACUACGGUAACCCAAAAGCUAUUUUAGGAACAGUAAGGACAAUUUCUUGUCUGAAGCUACACCAUAUUACAUAAUGCUGCUCUAAAGUUUUAAGCAAAUACUGUGAUAUUCUCAAGGUAUUUUCACUGAGAAUCUCAUGUCAGAGCAUGUGCACCAUUCACUUUGUCAUUCUGAGAAUCUUGAAAAGUUGUCUGCAUGUGAAUGUUGGUUUUAAAUGUAAAACACAUGAUCUCUCGUGGCUUGUUUUAGGCUUUUAAGUGUUAUUUUUUCUGCUCCAUUCUUAUGAUUUUUCCAUUAAAAUGACAAAGAUUCUUCUUUUAUUUUGAAUUUAGUUUCUAUGUUGUCUGUGUAGGUUUUUUUCACCAUUCACAGGAGUGUAAUUUAUUAUCUCAGCACCUGUUAACAUACUUUGUGAGUGAAAGAGACUUUGUCUGGAUAUCCAGUCUUGUGUCGCAUCUCCUUCAGACAGUCAGAACAAUCUGUAGAAUUUCCUCUCUGUAAACUGUCUCGUCAAUUAUACGCCAACUGAUGGGAUUAUGCAGACGACUUCGCCAAAUAGGAGCCUGUGGCUGAUAUUAAGUUACAAAGAGAGUUUUGUUGGAUAUUUGACUUCAGAUUUCACACUUUGAUCUGGGAGUUUACGACUUCCCUAAUGGAGUGUCUGCUCGACCCCUUUCCCUCCUCACUUCAUUCCAUUCCAGCUUCCUUCUCUUCGGUUUACAGUCCAGAGAUAAAUCCUUUUCAUAGGCACGCUGGUGAACUGAACUUACACUACCCUUAUGAAAGGCUUUAGUUACUUCCUGUCGUAGUGGCUCAAGGUUCAGGGGUGAGUGGGCUGCGCUAAUGUCAACACUGCAGAGCUUAAGUCCAAACCCUAGGAAAACAUAAGAGGGUAGAAUAUUGUGUACUUCUAGCUGACUUGAAGUGGUCCAUGGGAAUUAGAGAAGAGGAUUUGAUACAAUACCUCAAAUGCCAACUGUUUCAUUUUGCUCUGGAUGCAGAUGUAUUGAGAAACUUUUUAUUUGUUCCAUUAUCUUAAUAUUGGAUAAACAUUGUUUAUUAAAAAUGUCCAGGAUAA
Xiphophorus hellerii (green swordtail) is the source of this 10728-nucleotide long non-coding RNA. RefSeq lists it as uncharacterized. The record is from RefSeq and is a predicted model, not a curated record. Lineage: Eukaryota; Metazoa; Chordata; Actinopteri; Cyprinodontiformes; Poeciliidae. The transcript is spliced from 2 exons.